GUUAUCAUGCACCAAUCACGCGAAGGGACAGCCAAUCAAAUAGAACCUUUAGUUUCGUUUUUGCUCAGUCAGAAAGAGAUGGUUCGUGUGUUGUUUUUCUGCUGAUUCCUGUCGAAGUUGUAUGUGUUAAUGACCAAAAACCACACUUAUACACCUAUACACAACCAUGCACAAGAUUGUAUACCAAUGUAACCAGUGAACUUGAAGGACAUUAAAGUAACCUAACUGGAGUUCCUGUCUCUGUGUUCUUACCGACACUCCAUGGCGAUGACCAAGUUAACCUAAGAACCAACACAUCUUCCCUACAAUUGCAUUUCCCAAAAGAACGUUUGAAAAUGUUACUUUCAUAGAGAACUGUGCGUUUGAAAUGGCUCUCCAUAUGGGAUUUCACUUUGCUCAACUUUGUUGGGUGAAACAAAGUGAAACUGCAGAACGGGCAGAGGAAGUCCUUGCAGCAUGUGGGGCAUCUCUUUAGUCCAGGAAAGGAUCUUCCUUCUUGGAUUGUUAUGUGUUUCUUGAAAAAGAGAGAGUCCAAUUGGUCAAAUAAAACAUUUUAAGUUCAUUUCAUAUAAAUAAAUAGACAAUUUAUUUAUUA
This is a long non-coding RNA of Ctenopharyngodon idella (grass carp), 595 nucleotides long. RefSeq lists it as uncharacterized. The transcript is spliced from 2 exons. Lineage: Eukaryota; Metazoa; Chordata; Actinopteri; Cypriniformes; Xenocyprididae. The record is from RefSeq and is a predicted model, not a curated record.